GCCGCCCCUCCAGGCGUUGCAGGUGUGGCUGCUGUGUCACGUGUGUCAGUAGGUAGAUGAGAGGGAGAGGCUAUGUCUAUGCUCAGUGUUCUGACCUAUGGACAUCUGAAUGAUUAGUAGCCUAAUCAU
This is a small nucleolar RNA of Rattus rattus (black rat), 129 nucleotides long. RefSeq annotates it as small nucleolar RNA SNORA17. The record is from RefSeq and is a predicted model, not a curated record. The transcript has a single exon. Lineage: Eukaryota; Metazoa; Chordata; Mammalia; Rodentia; Muridae.